GUUCGCUGCCGCGCAGGCAGCUCAGAAA
This is a non-coding RNA of Thioalkalivibrio nitratireducens DSM 14787, 28 nucleotides long. The record is from Rfam. Lineage: Bacteria; Pseudomonadati; Pseudomonadota; Gammaproteobacteria; Chromatiales; Ectothiorhodospiraceae.